AGGGAGCAAGCCGAAAAUCCCGUAACAGAGUAGGCG
This 36-nucleotide non-coding RNA is filed under the name unclassified sequences. Its description in RNAcentral is "DUF805b RNA". It matches the Rfam family "DUF805b RNA". From Rfam's summary of the family: Bacteroidetes, Chlorobi (1 example), Proteobacteria. Lineage (Flavobacteria) The record is from RNAcentral.